Molecule: ribosomal RNA, 907 nt
Filed under: Penicillium glabrum
Lineage: Eukaryota; Fungi; Ascomycota; Eurotiomycetes; Eurotiales; Aspergillaceae
Description: LSU rRNA
Rfam family: Eukaryotic large subunit ribosomal RNA
Source: RNAcentral
GCAUAUCAAUAAGCGCGGAAAAGAAACCAACAGGGAUUGCCUCAGUAACGGCGAGUGAAGCGGCAAGAGCUCAAAUUUGAAAGCUGGCUCCUUCGGGGUCCGCAUUGUAAUUUGCAGAGGAUGUUUCGGGAGCAGCCCCCAUCUAAGUGUCCUGGAACGGACCGUCAUAGAGGGUGAGAAUCCCGUAUGGGAUGGGGUGUCUGCGCCCAUGUGAAACUCCUUCGACGAGUCGAGUUGUUUGGGAAUGCAGCUCUAAAUGGGUGGUAAAUUUCAUCUAAAGCUAAAUAUUGGCCGGAGACCGAUAGCGCACAAGUAGAGUGAUCGAAAGAUGAAAAGCACUUUGAAAAGAGAGUUAAAAAGCACGUGAAAUUGUUGAAAGGGAAGCGCUUGCGAUCAGACUCGCCUUGGGGGUUCAGCCGGCAUUCGUGCCGGUGUACUUCCCCCAGGGCGGGCCAGCGUCGGUUUGGGUGGCCGGUCAAAGGCCCUUGGAAUGUAACGCCUCUCGGGGCGUCUUAUAGCCAAGGGUGCCAUGCGGCCUACCUGGACCGAGGAACGCGCUUCGGCUCGGACGCUGGCAUAAUGGUCGUAAGCGACCCGUCUUGAAACACGGACCAAGGAGUCUAACAUCUACGCGAGUGUUCGGGUGUCAAACCCGUGCGCGCAGUGAAAGCGAACGGAGGUGGGAACCCUUUGGGUGCACCAUCGACCGAUCCUGAUGUCUUCGGAUGGAUUUGAGUAAGAGCGUAGCUGUUGGGACCCGAAAGAUGGUGAACUAUGCCUGAAUAGGGCGAAGCCAGAGGAAACUCUGGUGGAGGCUCGCAGCGGUUCUGACGUGCAAACUCGAUCGUCGAAUUUGGGUAUAGGGGCGAAAGACUAAUCGAACCAUCUAGUAGCUGGUUCCUGCCGA